This 489-nucleotide unclassified non-coding RNA is filed under the name Hevea brasiliensis (rubber tree). Lineage: Eukaryota; Viridiplantae; Streptophyta; Magnoliopsida; Malpighiales; Euphorbiaceae. The record is from RNAcentral.
CAGCUAUCGGCCUUGGGUCUGGAUCCUAGUUUGGCAGUUAACCGAGCACGUAGUAUGUCACGAGGUCGUAAGAGGGAGAGAUCUCCUGACAGGGGAGAUGCUACUGGCGACAAUGCUAUGGAUGUGGAUGAUGAAACACCAAGUAAGAAGUUGCGCAUGAGGUCUAGAUCCUUGUCAAGAUCUAGGUCUAAGUCUCGGCCACCAAGUGAGGUUACCCCUGGGGACGGAUUCAAGGACUCGGUCCAAAAGGUCAAGGCAUUAAAGAUUGCAAAGAAAUCUGUGAAAAAGAGGAACAAGAAUGCUCGUCGUGGUGAGGCAGAUAGGGUAAUCCCAACAUUGAAACCAAAACACUUGUUUUCAGGAAAGCGUUCUACUGGAAAAACUGACAGGCGUUGAAAUGUUUGGAGGAAUACAGUUAUUUGCAACCUUCUAGGUGUUUUCUUGUUGUAAAAGGUCCGAUGAAGAUGUAGAUUUUGCUGCAUUGCCUUG